Hirundo rustica (Barn swallow) is the source of this 8145-nucleotide long non-coding RNA. RefSeq lists it as uncharacterized. The transcript has 5 exons. The record is from RefSeq and is a predicted model, not a curated record. Lineage: Eukaryota; Metazoa; Chordata; Aves; Passeriformes; Hirundinidae.
ACUGGAAGGUGUUUGGCCAUGCUCCUGGGACUGCUGCCUGCUCCAUGGAAUUGAGUAAGGCCUGGCCAACUUCAGCCGUGUGCGAGGACACAAAUCCCUUCCCCUUCUAAGAGCUCCUCCUCUGGAAGGAGGUGGUGGAAGCAUCCUGUAGGAAGCUGAGAAACAGAUCCUGGACUGCUUCUCUGGCACAAGGCCUUUGCCAGCACAUCCCCGUGGUUUUGGAGCAAGGUUUACUGCAGGAGCAAAGGGAAGCUCCCUCCGAGCCCAGGCCUUCCUCCCCAGGCACUGUGCACAGCACUCAAGCCAUGGCAGCCCCAUUUAAUCAGUGCAGCACCCACUGAAUUUGUAGCCAGAUUUGUUUCUCUUCUGUAGCUGUUGCUGUGCCACCUCCAGACCUGACCCUGUCCAGCUUUGCCCAGAUCUAUCCCUGGGCUGAGAGUCUGUGUGGCUCCUUUUUGGACAGCCCAGAGCAGAAAAGGCCACAAUCUGCUAUUGUCUUCCUGCACCCCAGCUCAAGCCAGAGGAAUCCUCUUCAAGGUGCUCAAUGUGUUUUUCUUGGAGUCAUUCCUAGGGGUACAGCACGUGGCAGGGUCUGAGAGAAAGGGAUUUUCAGGCUUGCACAGCUCAUGUACACCUUCUUACACAAAAACAAAAGGUCAGUGUGGGAGAGAGGAGAAAUGGCUCCUCAGCCUCCAACUCAUACAAAACAAGGGAGGUGCUUUUUUUUUUUUUCUUGGAUUUAAUUCCAUCUGAGCCCUCCUGUUGUGGAAGGGGGGGAAAAAUAAAAACCACCGUGUUAUCCACCUCUCCAAAAACCAAGAAUGUGAAUUUGGAAUCCAAAUCAGAGCCCGGCUGAGGGCGUGUGGUCCAGGAGAGAGCUGACCUGUUUGCUCACCUGUAAGACAAAGCUGUUACCUUGGGCAUAACCAACCCCUCCCUCCAGAAAGGAGCCGAGCUCAAGAGCGAGGAGAGCAGCAGGCACUGCUCUGCACUGUCAGUACACACUAAGGAGCACAAGGACUCUGGCCUGGAAGAAAAGCAGAGCAACAGGAUGAAGAGCUCCUACCUUGCUGCAGUGCCUGACCCCCUGGGAUGAAUGCUGGGAUUUGAGAGCUCGCAGCAAAGCAGCCCUGCCUGUGCAGAGCCAGGGAGCAGCCUGGGCUCAGCCUGCUUUGCUAAUUAGAGAUGCAAACUGUAAUUCAGGUCACCCCUGCACCCAGGGCAGCUGGACUUCGGGUGGCCCUUCACCCACCAACUGCAGCCUCUGAAAGAGUUUUGGAAGCCACAGGGUCUGACACUGGUCAGGCCAGCACAUUUCCCACGGGCACUCCUGGUAGGAGGCCCUGCUGUGCAAUCACCAAACCUGGUCAGGUCAGGGCUGGCUGCUCUCCCAGGGCCCUGCUCUUGCUGCCCAGCGCCACCAGCACUAGCAGAGCCUGGUGAGGGAGCACUGAGCUAUGCACACGUGUCCCAGGGUAGGCACUUGUUGGCUAAAAAUCCUCACAAAAUCUGUUCUCCUGUUGUGUUCCUGUAUGUGGCACCUGCUCCUCAGAGCAGAAGCAGAUCAAGGGACUUUUUGGUGAGGGCUGGACGUGUCCAACUGAGUGUCUGGGCACUCCAUGGGAUGCCAGUGCACCUUGUACAAAUGCUUUUCUUCAGCUGUGCUUUAGCCCUGCUCUGUUCAGAGGCAGGCAAAGCCCAAUUUCUCUCCUCUGGGUUUCUUAGAGCUCAGCUGCAGUCCCUUGGAACAGACCUUCCCAAGGGAGAAGCCAGAGGCUUCUGAGCUGCACUAGGAGUCAGGAGAACUGAGCAGCCUGGGACCGAUGGAAAUUGUUUUCUAGGUAUUGUGCAAAGCUAUUUCUGAUCCCAGCAUCGCUCUCCAAGAAGGUCAGGACAGAUCCCCCUAGGAACUAACACUGAUGCUGUCAGCUCAGACACACCUCUGCCUCCAAAUGGGAUGGGUUUCCAUUAACCAAAUUCAGCUUGUUUCCAUAGUGCUUUUAUUUCUGAGAAGGCUGAGCUGUCGUUUUUCAUAGCUGUAGAUCCCACUCCCAGAUUAUUCUAUUAGCAGGCAUCAGUGUUGUUCUGAAUGUUAGUUAGGAAGCAAGAUGAUCAGUUUUCAACAUUUUAACGAGAAAUGUGACAUUGUGCAAUGGGGAGCCAUGAACACAGCACAGGAAGUCGAUUGCUUGGCCACAUCCACUCAGUGCAACAGAGCGGAGACACAGCAGGCUGUUUACCCACCCUGGGCACAUCUGGCUGUGGAACAGCUGCCAACACAGUGGAACAGUAAAAAACGGCCUCUGUCUGCAGAACAGACAAACCUGCACCGUUAUUGACACUGGUGGCAAAGAUUCCUCCACCUUUGCUCCUCUUGACCAGCUUCAAAGCCUCUGACUCCACGGUACAGACCAGGCAGUCACAUGUGUGACACUGCCACUGUACAGCUGGAACCAUCCAGAAAGGCCCCUCUUGGAGGCUGCUCCUCCCAAUUGCUCUCCUAGCAACAGAACCCCACCAGAAGAUCUCCACUAGAUGGGGAAGAGGGCUGCCAGGGAAGCUGGUUGGGAAAGCAAUCCCAGCUGCAAAGGGCCAGAGCCUGAGCAGGGACCCCCACAGGGGUGAUGUGAACCCUCGAGGCCGGGUCAGAGGGACUGGGCAGCCCAUGUCACAUUAAAAUGUUGAAAACAGCAGAGCACUAGGCCUGAGUUUAAGUCAGGUAGAGAGAGGGGCAGGAAGAGGUUGGAGAGGCAGUAUCCAGGAGGAGAUGAUCUUACCGCUGAUGCGCUGGCGGAGAGCACGUAAUUACGAGGUCUGGUUUCCUGAAAGUCAGGCACAGCCUGGGGGGGAAUAGAGUGUCAUGUACAAGGCACUAGAGGAGUCAACAGGAGUCGCUGGGUGAUGGGUGGGACAAGAGACCAGUGGCUUUUUCCCUGCCUGUGCUGGGAGCUUUGCUUGGAUUCUGAUGAGAGGCAGGAGGAGGUCUCCCGACACCUCAGCGGUGGCGUGUGCGGUCACACCUGGUGCUUGAACAGCAGACACUGCUCCUGUUAGGAACUCUGCCUGUACUCACAGCUGUCAGCCCAUACAGCAUGAUCCCAAAGGCAUUCCCGUUCCCUUGCAGCCAGCAUUAGCUCAGUCCUGUGGGCAGGCCCUCCCUUCCCCUUGUCUCCUGCCUACAGUCACCAUACAGGGCCUUGCCCUUAAAGGAGGAGCGUUCACCAGCACUGGAGCAUCCCUUCCACAGAGCCUUCUACUGCUCUCACUCUCCCCAAGCCACGAUUCCUCCUACCAGAGCCAGGUGUGCUGCUUUCAGGAAGGCACGUGGCUUAGCCAGGCCUAGCCAAAGGCGGUGUAGGAGUUUUCAUCCCAGAGGUCAGGAAACCUCCAAACCACAGCUGAACUUCUGCCCUGGGCCACAAAGACUUGAGCACUCUGGAGAUUUCUCCACUGGAAGUGCAAUGGAUCCAGCCCACUCCCACACAGUUGUGGGCUCAUUAAGCACCCCAGAACGUGGUGCUUUUAUUCAGUGAAGACCAGGCCUCCUCCUGGGAUGGCCUUUGGCUGUAGCACUAGAGACAAACCAACGAGCUGCCUGACAUCAGGAACGCUCCUGUGGCUGCUGUGCAGGGCUGGCACGGUGCUGCUGGAUGCCAGCUCUGGUGUUAAUCCCCUCAGGCCUCUGGUUCUCCCUCCCAGGUUAAUCUCUGAGCAGUCACCCAGAUCCACUUACACACACUGACCCACUUUGCUGGAAUGAGUGACCAGCGUGUGUGGAAGACCAGUCAGGCAGUCCCAACCAUGUUUUGUUGUUUGGUUUUUUUUUUUUUUGUUGUUUUUUUCCAUACCAUUUAGGAGUUUUAGGGAUGGCUGGAGGAAGGAAUAAGGAGGAGCAAUUCCUAUUUCAAGUUAAACCCGAAUAUAGGGAGAAAAAUGCACCAGUGAGUUUUGAGGCCGGCAGAGCAAAUAGGCUGGACUCCUCCCUGUGGGGAGAAAGGAUGUUUCACAGAAACAGCUGCUUAUGCUUUUUGUUUUUUGAAGACCAAGAGCAACUGAAGAAACCUCUCCUCCCAUUCCCUGGUCUCCAGGGAGUCCCAAAACUAGUCACAGCACAUGGGAUGAAGGAGGCAAGCUUCUCUUGUACUUCUGUGCAUGGAGAAGUUGUAUUUGCAAGCAGUGGUCAAAAGGGACCCACCUCCCUCCCCCUUCCACUCUGGUAAUGGGGAAAAGGGGCAGAACAGCACCACAACCAGAUCAUCCUGCCUGUCAUUGUCUCUGGGCUGCCCUCCCAGAGAGGGACUGGCCACCCAACCCCAGGAGCCCCUGCCUCUCUUGAGCACUGCUUGCAGGCAGUGUGGAUGGACCUGAGGGAUGCUCCAGAGGGGCUGCAGGCAGAUCUCUGACACUCCCACCCUUCUGGAGCACCUUCCCCAGGCAGCCACAGCCCUGAUCACGCUCAGAACAUGCUGCAGGGCCAGUCCCAACGGGACAAAGGAAAUAUGAAUUUUCUUUUAAAAAAUGGGAAAGAGACAAUGAGAGGUGUCAAAGGAAAAAAAAAAAAAUCACAGCACUGUUAGCACAGUCAAUACUCACAUCUCCCUCACACUGAGCAAAUUACAAAGAAACAAAACAAAAAGGUUAGUAAACAAAACAGCAUCAACAGGAAGGACAAAGCACAGAGUCUGUGGGAAAUGCACAAGCCCAGGUGUGCACAGCAGCUCACGGGUCUGGGCAGCAGCACUCGAGGGGCAUCAGGAGACAGAAGCUGUGGGAACACGAAUUUGCACCACAGAGGGGAAGAGCAGCGAGAGAGAGGUGAGCUGGGAUCUUCAGCUGGGCUGGGGAGGUGUGACACAGGGCUCCAGGUUACAGGGAAUGCUGUGACCGAGCUGAGGUGUUGAGAGCUGAGGAAGCAGCUCUGCCUUGGUGCUGGGAGCUUCCACCUCGUCAUCCAGCAGUCAGAGAGGCACCCAGAGCCCAGGGACCCAGCUUUAGGCUGAGCUGGGUGAGAGAUGGGUCCCCACAGCAGCAGCUGAGUUUGCUCUGCUGCUGGGGUCAGUGUUUCUGCCACUCUGCUACUUUGAGGCUUGGCUUGGGGAGCCAAGUAAAGCCUGGAUUGGCUCUGCACCUGCCUGGGGCACCUCAAAAGGUCCAGUGGGAAGCAAAGGUUUUUCUUUUCAAGCUACAGGGGAGUCCCUAAACCCGGGGUCUGUGUGCAGGUGAGAGGCCUUGGGGUCACCUCCUGUAGGAGGCAAGGUAAAGAGGGUGGAGAGGGAGGAAGCACAGGAGGCAUCUGAAUUCCUGCUUUAUCUGAGCUUAAAGAUAAAGCAGUGGCCACCAGUUUCCCCCCAGACUGGGGGCACUGUCCCCUCCAGAAGGGGAAUGGGGGAUUCCUGAAGGUACUCUCAGAGGAUCUGGGGGACCUGAAUGAUUAGAGGAGGCUUUUUUAAAAGGGCAGCUACUACUUCUGCUCACAGCUGUCCUGUGUAGGUCUGAGCACUCUGUCAGACCUGCUGAUGGAGGCUGCUGAGCUUAGCACAGCUUCCCCAUCUGCUGUGGAUGUAACUGGAGCUGGAGGAAAGGGAAAACACCUGGGAAAACCCAGGGAGAGGCACGGCCAGAGGCCCAGCUGGCAGAUGGUUAGAAACAGGCUCCCAGCAGGGCUGUGUAUCCCAGUGCAUCCCAGAGCCUGACUGACAAGGACCAGCUGAUUGUGACUUGCACACAUUUGCCAGUUGAGCUCCUGGCCCCAAGGCAAAAGCACAACUUGGCAGGUCCUUGUGCCAACAGCCAGAGCUCUACAGGAUGAAAACCAGCUCCAACCAGGCCCUCCAGGGAACCCAGCAGUGCCCAGUGUGAUGAAUUCCCCAACGCCAGAGGGCAAGACAAGCCUGUAACUAGAGCGCCAUGAACUGAGUGAGCAGAGAGGCUCAGGACAGACCUUGCAGCCAGUCUGACCCUGGCCACCCCUUACGGGCCCCCACAGCGCUCCUGCCUGGGAGCUGGCAGAAUCCUAAUGACUCUGACAGGCUGGGACUGCUGCAGUGCUCCAGCAGCCCUUCCCUUGGGCACCUCCCAGCUCAGCUCUCUCUUGCCUUGGUUUAAGCUCCCCUGUGAAAAUCAGCAAGACCUCAGAAGAUGCAACCUUUCAGUUACUAGCACAACUCAUCCAGCAACCCUGAUCAGUCAGCAGGCAGGAGCCUGGGCCAAGUGCAAGUUUCCAGAUUCCAGAAGCACAGGACUGUUUGCUUCAACAACUCCCCCAAGGGAGGACACCUCAGAAACAGGCACAUGGCUCCUGCUCCCCGUUCCCUUCCAUCCCAGAUGAGGAAUUCCCCCAGCUGUGCCUGCCAGAGACAGGACACAGCAGGGAAACCUUCAGCUCCAGAGAAACCAAUUAACAAGUUGUUGGCUUCUUCCAACUCACCCAGAGCUUCCACGCUCUGUGCUGGGGGAUGCAGGCACGGCUGCACCUGGCCUGGGCAAGACCCAUCAGAGAACAGCAGCAGUGGGGAUGUGCCAUGAAGUGCGAGGAGAGCAGGACCACCUGCAGCAGGAGCAGGCUGCCACGAGAUCAGGUGAAGCUUCUCCUGGAAGCACAGCCAGCACAGGAGAUUACAGGUGAUGUGUGACCACUCCUGGGAAGCUGGGCCUUGGUUGUGUCAUGACUACUCCAAAAGACAAAUGUGGUUUCUAAUAAUGUCCCACCUCCUCCUCUCUUUCGGUUUUAUUGCUGAGCAACGUCCUUUGGUAUGGAAUAUCCCUUUGGGCAGCUUGGGUCAGCUGUUCUGACCAAGACCUUGUCCCUUCCUUGGGUCCCCUUCUGCUCUCUCAACUUUUAGAGUAUGAGCACUAAUAAGGUCAGCAAGCAGAGGGUUUAUUUUAUCUACUAAUGAUAAAAGUCUAUUUUAUCACCAGAGGUCAGGGAGCUGGGGGAGUCUGUUUGUCUGCAGGGACUUCAAGAGAGAGAGUCAGCCUCUAGCUGUUUUAGUAAUGACAUUAGGGGGAGAUAAGCACCCCAAAGCUGUAUUCACACUUGGGCAUUUUCACCCAGAGCCUGUUCACAUCAGAACUGACAAAAGACAGACACCUACUGUUAUUUCCAGACCUCCCUGAAAGAGCCUGGCCUGAAGCCUGUCGGGAACAGGGACAUCCAGUGUGUGACCACACAGCUUCCACUGGCCAAGGGUUGGCAUCAGACCCAUCUGCUGAUAACUGGGAGGUGCAUCUGAUCAAACAGGGAGGUCCUUCUUCAAGUGAAGAUGAGGAGUGGCCUGUUAGGAGUCUGCCUGCAGAGAGUACUGACCUGAUGGCAGUGCAAGUGUCAAACCACCCUCAGGGGAAUGCUGAAUCCUGCACAAGCUCUGUGCCCUUGCAGUGCCCAAGCCUAGAAGCUCGUUCCCCAUUCCCAGGGUAGCAGAGCUGUCCACUGCUUUCCUACCCCAACUCCACUGUCUGCUCUGCUUUACUGGAGGAGUCCUGACUGAACAAGAAAUGUAAAACAGUGGGUUUGAGCUGUUUUCAUUGGGGUUUUUUGGUCAUGGGGAGCUUAGGCCAAAAUCAUUCUUCCAUUGCCUAUGUUGGGUUGUAUUUGACAGGUUUCAAACCAGCUCCUGCCCUGAGCCAGCCCAGAGGCGUUGUGCUGACCAUGCCCUGUCUCCUUUCUCCCUGGCUGAGCCCUAAUUCCAGUUCAAGUGAAUCUUCCUCUGUGUUGGUCAGACAGCUCUGCCAGACAGCAGGAGCUAAUGCUGUCUGCACAGCACAUAAUGGCCACUCCAUUUAUCUCCCAGUCUCUGCAGUUCCAGAAAACAUCACUUUGUUAAAUGCCUGGAGCUGGAGGAAACACCUCCCAAUGCUACAGAAACCAGCUUUUUCUAGACAGCUUAUUCCCAUCCUAGAAGAUCUGCAGUGCUAAAGAGUGCUACAAAGCCAGCCCUUACUGCCCACAGCAGACCUCAGCUGUCACUGCUGGCUCUUGGGGGAGAUGGGGCAGGGCCCACCGGGCACCCAAAAAGGCUGAAUUCCCGCAGCAGCGACCCCUCAUGAGGUGGUUUUCAGCCUCAGAGAUCUCUUUCCUUCCAGCUCCCCCUCCUUACACACCUGCUCGCCGUCCACAAGUGCCAGUGCUCAUUUGGUUUCAAUAAA